RNAcentral lists this transfer RNA (83 nucleotides) under Nematostella vectensis (starlet sea anemone). It matches the Rfam family "tRNA". From Rfam's summary of the family: Transfer RNA (tRNA) molecules are approximately 80 nucleotides in length. Their secondary structure includes four short double-helical elements and three loops (D, anti-codon, and T loops). The record is from Rfam by way of RNAcentral. Lineage: Eukaryota; Metazoa; Cnidaria; Anthozoa; Actiniaria; Edwardsiidae.
ACCAGGAUGGCCGAGUGGUUAAGGCGUUGGACUUAAGUUCCAAUGUACGAAUGUACGCGUAAGUUCGAACCCCACUCCUGGUA